AUGAUCGCUGGUGCACUAGUGAGUAGUUACACAGGUCUGAUAUCCCAUCAAAGAAAAAAAAUUAGAGUCCAUAGAGACAAAGAUUCAAACAGCUCCAUUCUUCAUUGUGGUCUGCUAAAAUUGGCUUGUUUGUGCCCCAUAAUCUUAGGCAUUUCUUGUAUAUAUAGUGAUCUAAACGAUCAUAUAUUUCUUUACAAAGGGAGUGCCUAUUUCCCUGUAAAAUCAGGUACUGUUCAGAAGCAUAGCAUCAUAUUGUAUAUGCUAAUGUCUGUAAAAAUGGUUUGUGAGUUACUCCCUCCUUCCUAA
This 306-nucleotide ribosomal RNA is filed under the name Triticum aestivum (bread wheat). Its description in RNAcentral is "partial small subunit ribosomal RNA". Lineage: Eukaryota; Viridiplantae; Streptophyta; Magnoliopsida; Poales; Poaceae. The record is from RNAcentral.